This 1923-nucleotide long non-coding RNA is filed under the name Helianthus annuus (common sunflower). RNAcentral describes it as "hypothetical non coding rna". Lineage: Eukaryota; Viridiplantae; Streptophyta; Magnoliopsida; Asterales; Asteraceae. The record is from RNAcentral.
CUCAACAUACCUUAAAUAACCUUUACAUAACUUAGAAAUAAGUUUUGAAGGCCUUGGUAGGGCAAAAAAACAAGUUAAUUCGCUUACAGGGACUAAACUUGACAAACUGCGAAAGUAUGCCAAUUUGGACUGUAACAAACAUUCCGGAACAUGACCAUAAGUUAAACACAGCUUAAAUAUCCUUUACAUAGCUUAGAAAUAGGCUUUGAGAGGUUCGGCGUGCUAAAAAGAAACUUUUGGGUCAUUCAGGGACUAAAAGUGUCAAAAAGUGCACAAGUUUGCACUUUCGCGCAUAACUUACGUUCUGAAUACAUCCGGACAUCCAAAAAUUUAUGUAAGCAUCCUUAUAUUAUGCCUUAGUGUUUGGCAUGAGAAAAAUCCAUUUGUCACGCAUUUUGGAUCGUUUUUCGCGCUUAUGCGCAUUCCGUCGUAAUUAACCGAACAUCGCGACCGUACGACCAAACGAACCAACAUCCGGCAUAUUUUUGGGCAUGUUUCACGCCCUCAAUGUUUAGGCAUCAUUUUAGGGCCUUAAAGAUGGCUUAACGGGCCUUGAAUGUAUCGGAAAUAGCCUUAAACCACAACAGGGACCUAAAGUGUCAAUUCUGAAACUUGGUUUCUGAUCAGGACUCCCAGGCGGGGCGCGUAAGCCCUGACUAAAUCCUUACGCGGGCCGCGUCAGCCCUGCAGAUGCAGAAACUCGUUUUUUGCUAUUUUUGGCCUUUCAAUCACUCCAAAGGGCAAUGCCCCUUCACAAUCUCUGGAGUUAGGGUCAUAAUGUGAUACCACAACAUCUUGACAAGUGUACGCAUGAGAUCAUGGCACGAAAUUCAAGAAACGAUCGUAACAGUUUUGCUUUUCCUAUAAAUACCCCCCCUAUUUGGUGUAAAACCCACAAAACUGAUCAAAGAGCUCUAAGUUGAUGCCAUUGCUUCAUACCUGAGCUCCUUGAUCAAGUUUAGCUUUCGGGGACCCUUCGUAAGUGUUCUUUCGUUCUUUUAAUCGCUUUCUAGUGCUAAAGUCAAACUUUGUUUGACUUUCUGCGUUGACCAGCUUAUGGUCAACACGAAGUUCGUUAGAACUUCGUAACGUGAGCGUGAUCACGAUGGUUAUAGUCCGUAGUGACUAUACCUACUGAUUACCACGUUAUCUAGGCUUAGUGACGAGUCGUAGUUUCGGCCAAAAUGCGCAUUCUUGCGUAUUUUGUAACCAAACUACUCGUGGGUAUCAAAACCGUUUGUUUUGAUACCAAACCUGUUUUCUAAACUUAGUUAAGCAUGUGUUAACAUGCUUAGCUCGUCACUUUUAGUAUAAAGCUUAUAUAGGGUCGUAAGGUAAGCGAUCUAAACAAUCGCUUAUACUUUCGAACCUGACCCAUUUGGUCGAUCAUUAGGAUCAGACCAAUCACAUUAGGUGACCAUAGCUGUAACCUUCCGAGGUUAUACCUUAUGGUCACGAUGUUAGGCGUUCCAAACGCGUUCUACGCGAACGACGCGUUAAAGUAACAUAAGCUACCUAAACGGGUCGUAGUGGGUCGUAAGCACUUAGGCUAGGUUUCAUUUUAGUAUGUAGGCUUUGUUAAACCAUAUUACACGAGUCUCCAUACUCGUUUGGUUUACGAACCCGCAUACUAUCCGAUCCUCCGAUUUAGGUCCGGUAUAUUAACAUAGUUACCUAUAUUAGGUGCCGUUUGAUAUCCGUGAUCUCUAGCAUUAUUUCGUUGUUAUACAAUAACUUCAAAGCAACCUCAGCUCGACAUGGUGAGCUAUCGCUUAGGAUGAUGAUUGUGAUACUAGGGCGGACCUGUGCCUUAGAGACAUAAAACGAAGAUAGACUAGUUUAAUUAUGUUAUAAACUCUUUAUUUCCUGUUUGAAGACAAUGUAACACUCGUGUUCAAUAAAUAAAAAUACAAUUUUGUAUGC